ACGUGAUCUGAGUUCAGACCGGAGUAAUCCAGGUCAGUUUCUAUCUAUAUAGGGCUUUUUCUAGUACGAAAGGACCAAAAAAGCACGGCCUAUGCCUGAGGUAAGCCGCAUUCAUUAAUCUAUGAUUUAAACUUAAUAGACAGUUGACCUAUAACCUUAUUCUAGACAAGAGUG
Molecule: ribosomal RNA, 174 nt
Filed under: Ptychohyla dendrophasma
Lineage: Eukaryota; Metazoa; Chordata; Amphibia; Anura; Hylidae
Description: partial 16S ribosomal RNA
Source: RNAcentral